CCUACGGGAGGCAGCAGUGGGGAAUAUUGCGCAAUGGGCGAAAGCCUGACGCAGCGACGCCGCGUGAGGGAUGAAGGUCUUCGGAUCGUAAACCUCUGUCAGCAGGGAAGAACGGUCACUGUGCUAAUCAGCAGUGAAUUGACGGUACCUGCACAGGAAGCACCGGCUAACUCCGUGCCAGCAGCCGCGGUAAUACGGAGGGUGCGAGCGUUAAUCGGAAUUACUGGGCGUAAAGCGCUCGUAGGCGGUAUGUCAAGUCAAGGGUGAAAUCCCCGGGGUCAACGUGGGGCCUGCCUUUGAAACUAGCAAACUGGAGUGUGAGAGAGGAUAGCGGAAUUCCAGGUGAAGGGGUGAAAUGCGUAGAUAUCUGGAGGAACAUCAGUGGCGAAGGCGACUAUCUGGCACAUAACUGACGCUGAGGAGCGAAAGCGUGGGUAGCAAACAGGAUUAGAUACCCUGGUAGUU
RNAcentral lists this ribosomal RNA (465 nucleotides) under uncultured bacterium. RNAcentral describes it as "partial 16S ribosomal RNA". It matches the Rfam family "Bacterial small subunit ribosomal RNA", at positions 338 to 795 of the family's 1533-position model. The record is from RNAcentral.